CACGUAGGGUGCAAGCGUUGUCCGGAUUCAUUGGGCGUAAAGGGCUAGUAGGCGGCUUAGCAAGUCGGGUGUGAAAACUCGGGGCUUAACCCCGGGCCUGCAGUGGGUACGGGCAGACUAGAGUGCGGUAGGGGAGACUGGAAUUCCUGGUGUAGCGGUGAAAUGCGUAGAGAUCAGGAAGAACACCGGUGGCGAAAGCGCUCUGCUGGACCUUAACUGACACUGAGGGACGAAAGCUAGGGGAGCGAAUGGG
RNAcentral lists this ribosomal RNA (253 nucleotides) under uncultured bacterium. Its description in RNAcentral is "partial 16S ribosomal RNA". It matches the Rfam family "Bacterial small subunit ribosomal RNA", at positions 524 to 776 of the family's 1533-position model. The record is from RNAcentral.